Molecule: ribosomal RNA, 52 nt
Filed under: Colletotrichum sp. Ae-08
Lineage: Eukaryota; Fungi; Ascomycota; Sordariomycetes; Glomerellales; Glomerellaceae
Description: partial 28S ribosomal RNA
Source: RNAcentral
UUGACCUCGGAUCAGGUAGGAAAUACCCCGCUGAACUUAAGCAUAUCAAUAA